GCGAGAGGUGUGGCAGCGUCGGGGAGAGGUCGUUGGGGGGUAGGGUGAAUAGGAAUUAGUGGGCGUAAAGAGUGCUAAGGCGGUUGGUGAAGACAGGCGUGAAAUCAGCGGGCUGAACCGGGGAGCGGAGCUUGUGACUGCCAGGCUAGAGGACGGCAGAGGGGGGUGGAAUGCGACGUGUAGCAGUGAAAUGCGUAGAGAUGUGGAGGAACACAAAGGGCGAAGGCAGCCCCCUGGGGCGAUACUGACGCUCAUGCACGAAAGCGUGGGUAGCAAACAGGAUUAGAUACCCCUGUAGUC
Molecule: ribosomal RNA, 300 nt
Filed under: uncultured Methanolobus sp.
Lineage: Archaea; Methanobacteriati; Methanobacteriota; Methanomicrobia; Methanosarcinales; Methanosarcinaceae
Description: bacterial SSU rRNA
Rfam family: Bacterial small subunit ribosomal RNA (bases 52-300)
Source: RNAcentral